This 484-nucleotide ribosomal RNA is filed under the name uncultured bacterium. Its description in RNAcentral is "partial 16S ribosomal RNA". It matches the Rfam family "Bacterial small subunit ribosomal RNA", at positions 28 to 523 of the family's 1533-position model. The record is from RNAcentral.
GACGAACGCUGGCGGCGUGCUUAACACAUGCAAGUCGAACGAUGAACCCGGAGCUUGCUCCGGUGGAUUAGUGGCGAACGGGUGAGUAACACGUGAGAAAUCUGCCCUUGACUCUGGGAUAACUGCGGGAAACUGUAGCUAAUACCGGAUAUUUUCCUUGGUGGGCAUCCACUGGGGAAGAAAGAAUUUCGGUCAAGGAUGAUCUCGCGGCCUAUCAGCUAGUUGGUGAGGUAAGGGCUCACCAAGGCGACGACGGGUAGCCGGCCUGAGAGGGUGACCGGCCACACUGGGACUGAGACACGGCCCAGACUCCGACGGGAGGCAGCAGUGGGGAAUAUUGCACAAUGGGCGCAAGCCUGACGCAGCAACGCCGCGUGAGGGAUGAAGGCCUUCGGGUUGUAAACCUCUUUUAGCAGGGAAGAAGCGAAAGUGACGGUACCUGCAGAAAAAGCACCGGCUAACUACGCGCCAGCAGCCGCCGUAA